Molecule: ribosomal RNA, 253 nt
Filed under: uncultured bacterium
Lineage: Bacteria
Description: partial 16S ribosomal RNA
Rfam family: Bacterial small subunit ribosomal RNA
Source: RNAcentral
UACGGAGGGUGCAAGCGUUAUCCGGAUUUACUGGGGUUAAAGGGUGCGUAGGUGGAUUGGUAAGUCAGUGGUGAAAUACUUUCGCUUAACGAAGGAACUGCCAUUGAUACUACCAGUCUUGAAUACAGUGGAGGUAGGCGGAAUGCGUCAUGUAGCGGUGAAAUGCUUAGAUAUGACGCAGAACACCAAUUGCGAAGGCAGCUUGCUACACUGUUAUUGACACUGAGGCACGAAAGCGUGGGGAUCAAACAGG